GGAAAAUGUUACGUUUACAUAGAGGAAAUUUAAACGUAAGAUACCAACCCCAUAGUCUUCUCUCUCAUUAGCAAUAAACAACCAUAAAUGCUAUCGCUGGCUCUCUAUGCGCUCUGCAAUAACUCCUCCAUCUUCUCUGCCUUUUCCCUUUCUCUUCUUCCUUCUUUAUCCCAUCACCAUCUCUCUCUCUCACAUUUUUUAUCUGCUUUUUUUUUUUCUUUCCCUUUCAUUUCCAUGUCCUCACUAUUCUUCUUAAAUUCUACUCACAAGAAAGGCGUCCUUAGCAAUAAACCUCAAAACCACUCUUCACAGUUCUAAACAAAUUCUGCUUUUUCAUCAACCCUUUGACUUCAAAACCAGAUCUGACCUGCUUUGCUUGUCUCUAACCGUAAAACCUGAAUAGGGUUUUAUAGGGUUUCUAUCCACUUUCAAGAACAGUAAGUCAAACGACCACACCCACACACACCUACACACACUUGUUAUACUGUUUGUUUAUUCUCACUUCAGUUCUCUAAAACCAGAUUUUCAGGUUUCACCUUGCGAAUAAUUAAGUUUAAUUUUCUGUGAUGAAUUUGGCAUUCUAAUAUUGCUUUAUCCCCUAUUUAUUCAUUUAUUUUGCAGGGAGAAAAGAGGAGAGUAAAACUCCACCGAAAUAUACGUGGGCGUUAAAUAAAAUGCCAGCUUGAAAAAUUUUCCAGCGUCAAAGGUUUCACACUGUGUCAAAUCCGUGUUGGUCUUUUAGUUCUUUAUUUGGCAUGUAAGGACAGAUGAAAGAAAGUCUUCUUUGAGAACCCACUAACCAGAAUUAAGUAAAUUCCAGUCUGUUGUUACAUGUAACCAUCCCAUUUGUUUUGUUCAGACACUGCCACAGAAUCUGUUGACCUCAACGCACUACCUUCUAAAAACCAAAACCAAAAUCAAAACCAAAAAGCUAGACCUCAAUUUAGAGGGAGAAAGAUAUAUAUAUAAAGAGAGAGAGAGAGAGAAGUUUCUAGGGUUUCAUGGUGAAGAUGUGCAGCUUCAAGGGCAUAGGAAGAAGUCUCGUGCCAAGAAUUUUCAGGCGAGUCUGAAAACCUAUAAAAAAGGUCAGUGAAUUUUGCAAACCUAAAAUUCCACUGAAUGCAAGAAGAAUUCAAGAUACAGAUAUAGAGUUACUCUUAUCAUACCAUUUUUUACAUUGUUAUUUCUCACAAUUUAAACAGAAUUCUGAUGAACAGUAUCAGGUUCCCACAAAAAUUAAUUUCGUUGUCAUGUUAAAAAGUGUUUAUGAUAUACUGUUUUGUGUCAAGAGUCAAACCAUUUCAAGAUCUGAUUAAACAAAGAAGUAGGGAAUAAAAGUACUUCCAAUGAAAUCAUUCUCGAUAUAAACGCUAAAGCACCUUUUUUCGUACAUUACACACUCUCAAAAGUCACAAGAUCUGAGCCUUAAUAGAAUUUUUUUAUUCCCUAAUCGCAUUUCCAGAUUCCAUAUGGCGCAAUCCUUUUUUUCUUGAUGUAUAGUUCUGCCAUGUCAAUUGUUGUAAACUAUAAUUAUUUCUUAAUUAUAUUAAUUUUUUGUUAAAAUUGUUUCGCUUAAUUUUUUUGUUUCAUCUUCUUGCAGCUGAUUGGAAAAUUUUAAGCUUGUCUCUCAUGUCAAUUGUUUUAAACUAUAAUUAUUUCUUAAUUAUAUUAAUCUUUUGUUAAAAUUGUUUCGCUUAAUUCUUUUGUUCAUCUUCUUGCAGCUGAUUGGAAAAUUUUAAGUUUGUUACUUAAGAACAUCAUGAUGUUUCAGCCAAACAUGUUUGAUAGCCACCAUUCCUUGCUGGACAUGAUCCAUAAAACACCAGAAAAUGAGAUGGACCUUAUUAAGGAUGAUGAAUUCGACAGCAAAUCGGUGACUGAUAUAAUGGAAGCACCUUCUGGUGAUGAUGGAGAUCCAAAUCCACGACCCAAAAAGAAGCGUUAUCAUCGCCAUACCCAGCAUCAAAUCACAGAAAUGGAAGCGUAAGUCAAGUGCCGGACAGAAUUAAAUAAUUAAGAGACAUUUAUUCAUUUUUUUCACGAAAUAUUUUCAUUUACAGUUUUUUUAAGGAAUGCCCUCACCCAGAUGAUAAACAAAGGAAAGAGCUUGGACGUCAAUUAGGAUUGGAGCCUUUACAAGUAAAAUUUUGGUUCCAAAACAAGCGUACUCAAAUGAAGGUAAUGUGUUUAUCUUUCAGAAUUCUUAGGCUUAAAAUUUUUACCAAUGAUUAUCACUCUAUUAGUAUAUUGAUGUGUUUAUAUAUGGGAAGUUUAACUUUGAUAGAAUUAAUAAUUUCAGUCUCAACAUGAGCGCCAUGAUAACACACAGCUGAGGAAUGAAAAUGAAAAGCUUCAUGCUGAGAACAUAAGGUAUAAAGAAGCUCUUACCAAUGCUACUUGUCCCAACUGUGGAGGACCAGCGGCCAUUGGCGAGAUGUCAUUUGAUGAGCAGCAUUUGAGGAUCGAGAAUGCUCGUUUAAGGGAAGAGGUAAUAAAAGAAGACUAGAGACAUUUGUAUUUGGAAUAUUUCUUCAUAAUAGGUGUUUAAAGGUUCUUGCUUCAAUAAGAUAUGCUUGUAUAAAUUUAUUAUAAUCAAUUUGUUAAAUUAUGUCUUUAAUAAUGAUUAAGAAAAUAAAUGAGACAUUAGGACUUUUAUCUUAAUAUGUAGUUUUUAACUUAUUUACAUGGGUAUCAUCUUUCUAGAUUGAUAGGAUUUCUGGAAUUGCAGCAAAGUAUGUUGGAAAACCUAUGCUUUCUUAUGCAAGUCUUUCUCCUGGAUCAUCUCGUUCACUUGAUCUUGGACCGGGAAAUUUUGGACCACAUACAGGCAUGGCAGGAGAGAUAUAUGGUGCAGCUGAUCUUCUUAGGUCAGUCUCCAGACCAACUGAUGCCAACAAGCCCAUGAUCAUUGAGUUGGCUGUUGCUUCAAUGGAGGAGUUAAUCCGAAUGGCCCGAACAGAAGAACCUUUAUGGAUACCUAGCAUGGACAAUAUAGAGACUUUGAGUGAAGAGGAAUAUGUCCGGAAUUUCCCUCGUGGGAUUGGGCCAAAACCCUUGGGAUUGAAAUCUGAGGCAUCUCGAGAGUCUGCUGUUGUGAUAAUGAAUCAUAUCAGCUUGGUUGAAAUUCUGAUGGAUGUGGUAGGAUUUCUAGAAUCCAUAUUUGGACAUAAGAGUGUAAUUUUUUUAUUCCGUUUUAAUCAGCAGUUUUGGUUUCUGUGAUUACAGAAUCAAUGGAGAAGCGUGUUCUCCAGCAUUGUCUCGAGAGCAAUGACUGUUGAAGUUUUAUCAACUGGAGUGGCAGGCAACUAUAAUGGAGCUUUACAAGUGGUAUGCAUACAAAUCAAUUUUCUUGGUGAUUGCUACUUUUCACUGAUUAAGAGCUGAUAUUUUCUCAGCAACUCUUAUAAAUUGUUAAUCCUAAUGCAUUAUCUUUAUAGAUGACCGCUGAGUUCCAGGUCCCUUCCCCAUUGGUUCCAACUCGCGAAGUCUAUUUUGCAAGAUAUUGCAAACAGCAUGGUGAUGGUACAUGGGCUGUGGUUGAUGUUUCUUUAGACAAUCUGAGAGAUGCCUCUAUAUCCCGGUGUAGACGAAGGCCAUCUGGUUGUUUGAUUCAAGAUUUGCCAAAUGGUUACUCAAAGGUAAAACCUAUUCUCAAGUUAAUAUGUCAAUUUAAAUAAAUAUAGGCCUAUAUAAUGCUAGUUGUGAAUAUGCUCCUAUUUAUCCUCAGGUAACAUGGGUGGAACAUGUUGAGGUAGAUGAUAGAGCUGUUAACAACAUCUACAAACCACUGGUCAAUUCUGGUCUCGCAUUUGGGGCAAGACGCUGGGUGGCGACGUUGGAUAGACAAUGUGAACGUCUUGCAAGUGUAAUGGCCAAUAACAUUUCAGCAGGAGAUGUUGGAGGUACUGACAUUUUACAAUUUUUACUUGAACUGAAAUUUUAGUUAACAGGAUUUCUUUAGCCUGUGCUAAUUUGUAUAGUUACUGUUGCAGUGAUAUCAUCUCCAGAAGGUAGAAAGAGUAUGUUGAAGCUGGCAGAAAGAAUGGUAAUGAGCUUCUGCACUGGUGUCGGUGCUUCAACUGCACACACAUGGACAACAAUGUCAGGAAGUGGAGCUGAUGAUGUUAGGGUUAUGACAAGAAAGAGUGUGGACGAUCCAGGCAGGCCUCCUGGUAUUGUGCUAAGUGCUGCUACUUCAUUUUGGCUCCCAGUUCAACCAAAAAGAGUUUUCGAUUUUCUUCGUGACGAGAAUUCAAGAAAUGAGGUAUGAAAUAUUUUUCUCGAGUCCUGAAACUUAUUUUCAGUCAAUCUUUGAUCUUAAAUUACCUCAGCAGCUACUAUGAUCAAAUAAAACAGUAAAAAUAAAUAGAUUCUUAUCUCGUGCUAAGAAACCAAAUAAUCAAUGGACAUUACAGAUAUGACCAAAAAACAAAAAUCCUUUAUAUAAGAUUAAACAAUAGCUUCUCUACUCUUUACAAUUUCAGCUGUUAUUGGAAUGUUACAAGGAUUCUUGAAAUGUCUUACCUAUAAAAAAUUACUCAUAAUUUAUCCUGUAUCACAAUUACAGUGGGAUAUUCUUUCUAAUGGGGGCCUUGUUCAAGAAAUGGCACACAUAGCAAAUGGCCGUGAUCCAGGCAAUUCUGUCUCAUUACUGCGUGUUAAUGUAAGUUGUUGAUUUAUAUAAGAAAUUUUACCUCAAAUGACUGGACUGUUCUUCAUAAGCUGUUGAAAAUGUAAUGUGCAGAGUGCGAAUUCUAGCCAAAGCAAUAUGCUGAUACUACAAGAGAGUUGCACUGAUUCAACAGGCUCCUAUGUUAUAUAUGCUCCAGUUGAUAUUGUUGCAAUGAAUGUGGUCUUAAGUGGUGGUGAUCCAGACUAUGUUGCCCUCUUACCAUCUGGUUUCGCUAUACUUCCUGAUGGACCUAUAAAUCUAGCCGGAGGGAUUAAUCCUGAGGUUGGUUCUGGUGGUUCGUUACUGACCGUCGCCUUUCAGAUAUUGGUAGAUUCAGUUCCAACAGCUAAACUUUCUCUGGGUUCAGUAGCAACUGUUAAUAGCCUGAUCAAGUGCACUGUUGAAAGGAUCAAGGGUUCUGUGCUGUGCGAAGGUUCAUGAGCCAAAGAUCUGCUUUCUGGUGAGUUUUUCUUUUUAAACUGAUUGACGGCUUAGACAGCUAAUGUAUCCUCCCUUAUGCCCUCUUGCUCCCUUUAGAGCUUUCCAUGCCUGAAAGAACGAAAUGUUUAUUUAGAAAAAUAAUGUCAUUUAGCACCACGGGAGAUCAACACCACUCACACUCUAGAUGGCACUGUGUGAUUGAUUCAACUAAAGGUAAAAUUAUAUGAACCGUUCAAAUUUACUUCUCAUUAAUCUCAUUUAGUGCUAUCUAGGCUGGUAUUGACAUCAAUGGUGUUAAAAAGAAUUAUUCUAGGCACCAAUGUGAUAAAUUUUAGAAGUAUACUCUGCACUCCAAACGAACCGAUACUCGAUUAGAAAACUAGUAGACUGAUACACAGACUUGAAAGUUUACAUUAUCAAAUCUGCUUCUAAUUAGUGUCACAACCAUCUGGUAAAUAUUUGAUCAACCACAAAUGAUGCGGUCCACAUUUUUUCGCCUAAAUCUUGACACUGUCGUUACAUAUUCUUAAUUAAAUACAGUUUCUUCAUUCUGACAUCUUUCUCUUGACUGUUUUAUGUUGCAGUUUAUACUUGAAAUGAAGAAUAAAUGAAAAUUAUUUAUUUGUUUACCGUAGGAUGUGAGAGAAAUGGAAAGAAGUCAAGAACGCACCUUGUAUAAUCCUUGCCGUGUCGAGUUAAUCAUCUUGGAUGAAGAAUGCAUCUUGAGUUUCACCAAUCAGCAAGGUUAAUAUAGGUUCGGGUAUUGACUAAGAAAAGACUCAGACUUAUCUUAAAAUCUUUUUACCAUUGUUUAAUUUGCAUCAAAGUUAGGGUUUUUAUUUUAUUUUAUUUUAUUUUUUUGUUUAGUAAUUAUUGUGUCUUUGGAGAAGUUAAGUUAGCAAACUGUGGAACCUCAAUUUGGCUCUUUAUAAGUGGUUUUCUUUUCAUGUGAAUUUUUGUUUCAGUAAUAUUCAGCUCUUUUCUUUUGAUGUGAACUUUUGUUUCAGUAAUAUUUAG
RNAcentral lists this long non-coding RNA (6130 nucleotides) under Olea europaea subsp. europaea. The record is from RNAcentral. Lineage: Eukaryota; Viridiplantae; Streptophyta; Magnoliopsida; Lamiales; Oleaceae.